CUCCUACGGGAGGCAGCAGUGGGGAAUAUUGCACAAUGGGGGAAACCCUGAUGCAGCGACGCCGCGUGCGCGGAAGAAGGUCUUCGGAUUGUAAACUCCUGUUGUUGAGGAAGAUAAUGACGGUACUCAACAAGGAAGUCACGGCUAACUACGUGCCAGCAGCCGCGGUAAAACGUAGGUCACAAGCGUUGUCCGGAAUUACUGGGUGUAAAGGGAGCGCAGGCGGGGAAGACAAGUUGGAAGUGAAAUCCAUGGGCUCAACCCAUGAACUGCUUUCAAAACUGUUUUUCUUGAGUAGUGCAGAGGUAGGCGGAAUUCCCGGUGUAGCGGUGGAAUGCGUAGAUAUCGGGAGGAACACCAGUGGCGAAGGCGGCCUACUGGGCACCAACUGACGCUGAGGCUCGAAAGUGUGGGUAGCAAACAGGAUUAGAUACCCUGGUAGUCCACACUAUAAACGAUGAUUACUAGGUGUUGGAGGAUUGACCCCUUCAGUGCCGCAGUUAACACAAUAAGUAAUCCACCUGGGGAGUACGACCGCAAGGUUGAAACUCAAAGGAAUUGACGGGGGCCCGCACAAGCAGUGGAGUAUGUGGUUUAAUUCGACGCAACGCGAAGAACCUUACCAAGUCUUGACAUCCUGCGACGCACAUAGAAAUAUGUGUUUCCUUCGGGACGCAGAGACAGGUGGUGCAUGGUUGUCGUCAGCUCGUGUCGUGAGAUGUUGGGUUAAGUCCCGCAACGAGCGCAACCCUUAUGGUCAGUUACUACGUUAAGAGGACUCUGGCGAGACUGCCGUUGACAAAACGGAGGAAGGUGGGGAUGACGUCAAAUCAUCAUGCCCUUUAUGACCUGGGCUACACACGUACUACAAUGGCGUUAAACAAAGAGAAGCAAGACCGCGAGGUGGAGCAAAACUGAAAAACAACGUCUCAGUUCAGAUUGCAGGCUGCAACUCGCCUGCAUGAAGUCGGAAUUGCUAGUAAUCGCGGAUCAGCAUGCCGCGGUGAAUACGUUCCCGGGCCUUGUACACACCGC
This 1035-nucleotide ribosomal RNA is filed under the name uncultured bacterium. RNAcentral describes it as "bacterial SSU rRNA". It matches the Rfam family "Bacterial small subunit ribosomal RNA", at positions 336 to 1393 of the family's 1533-position model. The record is from RNAcentral.